Molecule: ribosomal RNA, 1123 nt
Filed under: uncultured bacterium
Lineage: Bacteria
Description: bacterial SSU rRNA
Rfam family: Bacterial small subunit ribosomal RNA
Source: RNAcentral
AUUGAUUUUAUGCUUGCAUAAAUGAUUUUUGGAUUCGGAGCGAGUGGCGAACUGGUGAGUAACACGUGGGUAACCUGCCCCGAAGCGGGGGAUAACAUUUGGAAACAAGUGCUAAUACCGCAUAAUUAGUUGGAACCGCAUGGUUCCAACUUGAAAGAUGGCUCUGCUAUCACUUUGGGAUGGACCCGCGCCGUAUUAGUUAGUUGGUGAGAUAAAAGCCCACCAAGACGAUGAUACGUAGCCGACCUGAGAGGGUAAUCGGCCACAUUGGGACUGAGACACGGCCCAGACUCCUACGGGAGGCAGCAGUAGGGAAUCUUCCACAAUGGACGAAAGUCUGAUGGAGCAACGCCGCGUGAGUGAUGAAGGUUUUCGGAUCGUAAAACUCUGUUGUUAAAGAAGAACAAGUGUUAGAGUAACUGUUAACACUUUGACGGUAUUUAACCAGAAAGCCACGGCUAACUACGUGCCAGCAGCCGCGGUAAUACGUAGGUGGCAAGCGUUGUCCGGAUUUAUUGGGCGUAAAGCGAGCGCAGGCGGUUUUGUAAGUCUGCUGUGAAAGCCCUCAGCUCAACUGAGGAAGUGCAGUGGAAACUACAAAACUUGAGUACAGAAGAGGAAAGUGGAACUCCAUGUGUAGCGGUGAAAUGCGUAGAUAUAUGGAAGAACACCAGUGGCGAAGGCGGCUUUCUGGUCUGUUACUGACGCUGAGGCUCGAAAGCAUGGGUAGCGAACAGGAUUAGAUACCCUGGUAGUCCAUGCCGUAAACGAUGAAUACUAGGUGUUGGAGGGUUUCCGCCCUUCAGUGCCGCAGCUAACGCAUUAAGUAUUCCGCCUGGGGAGUACGACCGCAAGGUUGAAACUCAAAGGAAUUGACGGGGGCCCGCACAAGUGGUGGAGCAUGUGGUUUAAUUCGAUGCUACGCGAAGAACCUUACCAGCUCUUGACAUCUUCUGCCAACCCAAGAGAUUGGGUGUUCCCUUCGGGGACAGAAUGACAGGUGGUGCAUGGUUGUCGUCAGCUCGUGUCGUGAGAUGUUGGGUUAAGUCCCGCAACGAGCGCAACCCUUAUUAUUAGUUGCCAGCAUUUAGUUGGGCACUCUAGUGAGACUGCCGGUGAUAAA